This 89-nucleotide ribosomal RNA is filed under the name uncultured archaeon. RNAcentral's name for it is "partial 16S ribosomal RNA". The record is from RNAcentral.
CUCCCUCGUUGCUGAUCUCAGGCUCGAUAAUGCCAAUAUCGCACCACCUCGCCUAAAACCAACUUCGAUGAAGCGACGGGCGGUGUGUG